GUAGUUAAAUUUUGCAGUAGUAAAAGAAACAGAACCAUAUGGGUUUGUUCUGAAGCUCCUUUCAAUAUCUUCACUGCUAACUGAGCAAUGACUAUUUGAAUCAGUCUGAAACAUAUGCCAUUUACCACACUCAGCCAAAUAAAACCAGCCCCACUGAGUAUCAGAGGUAUCCAUGUCUUCAACUGAACUUUCCAUCUUUGGAAAGAGUUCUUCAGAAGUUCUUUGAAACAUUUCCGCAUCUGCCGCCCA
This 249-nucleotide long non-coding RNA is filed under the name Gallus gallus (chicken). The record is from RNAcentral. Lineage: Eukaryota; Metazoa; Chordata; Aves; Galliformes; Phasianidae.